Non-coding RNA from Podarcis lilfordi (Lilford's wall lizard), 3029 nucleotides. Lineage: Eukaryota; Metazoa; Chordata; Lepidosauria; Squamata; Lacertidae. The record is from the annotation of a GenBank genome assembly.
GCUAAAUUGAUGUCGUAGAUCAUACAGUGAUGUAUUCCCAACUGCUUAAGCCUCUGGACUGAUGUCAUGGAUCACACUAUGACAUAUUCACACAACUCAGCAGGUUUUAAAGCAUUGACAAUUUAACUGUACUCAUUAUCUUUUUCCUGUCAGUAGGAGAUGCAGCUUGGGGUGGAUUUGUAGCAGAAAAAAUGGAAGCAAAAUUGUUAAGAAACUUCCCCCUCCACCAUUGCCCACUGCUCAACUUCUGCUAGAAGUUUCAGCCAAGAAAGGAAGGAAGAAAAAUAAAGAGAAAGAAUAAGAGAAUUGAUGAAGGGAGGUAGUGGGAGAGGAAUGGAACACCUGUGCAUCCCAUGUUGUUUGACUCCGAUAGUCCAGUGGCUCUUCUGCCUCCUGCUUACCUUCUUGUAUCCUUGCAGGUUCCUCUAGAGCACUUACCUUCAGCAAGGUAGAGGGCCACCUGAAACAGGUGGGGAAAGUCUACAGCAGCAGCUCCAGAGCAAAUACGUAUAUGGAGCUGGCUUCCACAAAGAGUGAGGUCUCCUUCCUAAAGAAAGUACUAGAGGAGUGGGGGAGAAACUCAUGGAUCACCAUCCACAGCACCAGAAAGAGCCUGCACGACAGCUGAUGCUUAGGUCACAUGGCUAUGAGCAGCCAGCAGGCAGAACAAGAGGCUCCUUUAUUUUAUUUAUUUUGCUUUACUUUACAUUGUUUUGUUUUUAAAUUUGUUUUCUGCCCUUCACCCAAAGAUCACAAAGCAGUUCACAAUAUAGGGUGCCCUAGCCUGCUGUCUUUGGUUUUCCUUUGGGUAAGGACAGUGGCCCAUCAGUUUGGUAGUCAGCAUGUUCUAGCAUAUUCAGUGCAAUUAACUUCAGCCACAAAGGGCAAUGAGAGACAUGGGAAUGAUGGGGAAGCCCUAUGUGCAUUGGGAAAAUGUGGCUUUACCCAAAACACUUGUUACAUUAUACAUCCCUUACUAACUCCAUUCUUCCAUGUCUCCUAACAAAGCAAAAUAACACCUGUUUAUCUGUCUUUUGUGUUCAAAUCUCAAUUAUCACACCACAUUGAAUAUGCCCUAAUUACCAUAUUUACUCGAAUCAAAUCACACCUUUUUUGCCAAAUCACGUUAUGAUUUCCUCCUGUUUCCUGCUUGGCAGGGGGUUGGACUCGAUGGCCCUUGUGGUCUCUUCCAACUCUAUAAUUCUAUGAUUCUAUGAUUCUAAUAUUUAAAAUAUGAAAUAUUUAUGAAUAUUUACUUGGAUGAUGGACUCAAGGGCAUCCUGAUCAAAUUUGCAGAUGACACCAAACUGGGAGGGGUGGCUAACACCCCAGAGGACAGGAUCACACUUCAAAAUGACCUUGACAGAUUAGAGAACUGGGCCAAAACAAACAAGAUGAAUUUUAACAGAGAGAAAUGUAAAGUAUUUCACUUGGGCAAAAAAAUAAGAGGCACAAAUACAAGAUGGGUGACACCUGGCUUGAGAGCAGUACAUGUGAAAAGGAUCUAGGAGUCUUGGUUGACCACAAACUUAACAUGAGCCAACAAUGUGACGUGGCAGCUAAAAGCCAAUGCAAUUCUGGGCUGCAUCAAUAGGAGUAUAGCAUCUAGAUCAAGGGAAGUAAUAGUGCCACUGUAUUCUGCUCUGGUCAGACCUCACCUGGAGUACUGUGUCCAGUUCUGGGCACCACAGUUCAAGAAGGACACUGACAAACUGGAACGUGUCCAGAGGAGGGCAACCAAAAUGGUCAAAGGCCUGGAAACGAUGCCUUAUGAGGAACGGCUAAGGGAGCUGGGCAUGUUUAGCCUGGAGAAGAGGAGGUUAAGGGGUGAUAUGAUAGCCAUGUUCAAAUAUAUAAAAGGAUGUCACAUAGAGGAGGGAGAAAGGUUGUUUUCUGCUGCUCCAGAGAAGCGGACACGGAGCAAUGGAUCCAAACUACAAGAAAGAAGAUUCCACCUAAACAUUAGGAAGAACUUCCUGACAGUAAGAGCUGUUCAACAGUGGAAUUUGCUGCCAAGGAGUGUGGUGGAGUCUCCUUCUUUGGAGGUCUUUAAGCAGAGGCUUGACAACCAUAUGUCAGGAGUGCUCUGAUGGUGUCUCCUGCUUGGCAGGGGGUUGGACUCGAUGGCCCUUGUGGUCUCUUCCAACUCUAUGAUUCUAUGAUUCUAUGAUUCUAGGUGUGCAUUAGACUCGAUGACACAUUUACAUUUGCCAGCAAAUACUUUUUUUGGUUUCAAGGUUCUGAAAAUUGAGGUGCGCAUUAAAUUCAAUGGCACAUUAGACUCAAGUAAAUACGGUACCUCGUGCUUUGUAACCACAGUGUAACUAACAUUCCCCUUUCCUGACAGUGCGACACUGUGUGGGCAGGAGUCAGGGAGCCAGACGGAAGGGAAAGACUUCAACUCAGCUCAGACUCCGCAAAUCAGCAGCAAAGCAAGGCCCAGGGCUGCUGGAGGCUGACUGCAAGGGGCCACGUCCAUUGCUGUCCAAGGUUCUGAACUACUAAAGAGCCGUAAGCAGUAAGGUCUUGCCUGGAAGCCGGAUACUUCGCUAUUAAGUGUGCUGUUUCAUGCCUUAAUGUAGAAGCCCAAUCUAGGAACCGGGCUUCUUGCUUUGCCUGGCAUCCUAUAAGUUGGGGCUGGACACACUGGUGGCACUGGUGGCACUAGGGCACUCCAACUGUGGUGCUGAGCAUUACCCUGUUAGUCUUUGUGCUUUAACAUGCGGUAUGCAGGCUAGAACUGUGCAUUACACAUAAUACAUUCUGCAGGUUGGCUACGCAGCUAUGUUGUGCUUCAUUCUUGCUGGGUAUGAGUAACGUGUGGUCAUCACCCCAAGCAUUUUUAUUGCCUUCAAAUCCAGAAAGAGCAGCUGCCCUUGGCAGAACACAACAAAGAUGCUGAAAUGGCUGGGCCUCUGGUUUGUGGAACAGUUUUGGGCUUGAUUUGGGACCGACUCUUGAAAGAGCUAAGCAGGACUAAGUAGCUUCAUGAGUGUAGCUUGACCAGCAGCAAGAUCCAGUCCUAAAGG